GGUGAGACAACACCACCUCCCAGGUGGAGAUAAGUCCCCUCCUCCUGGCUCCCACAGGGGUCCAGCAGUGGAGGAUGCUGGGAAGUUUGGCCUCAGGUUCCAAUCCCAGCUGCCGGGCCUGGACUCUUCAAUCUCUGUGACCACAGAUAGGGAGAUUGGGGCAGCUGGACCCCAAAGGAAUUGCUGGCUUCAGGAUGCCAAUGAUAAAGGCUUCGUGCCUCAGUUUCCUCAUCUGUGCGGUAGAAGUGAGUGUCCAUCCUCAUGACUGCUGCAGGAAUGGAAGAGUUCUUCUCAUGAACGUUGGAAUAAUAUCUUGAAGCCUUGGAUUCAAACUACAGAAAAUAUUUUUGCUGCAGCCAAUUGCUGGGGUGUUACCAUUCUAGGAACACCACAAUUCAACACCAAGACUUGCUAUUUCCUGGUGCCUGCAUGCCACACCUCUUGAUUUAGGACCGGAAUUCAUUAGCACCUGCUUUGUUCUCUCUCUGCGCAUCUUCAAGGGCUCGGAUGAUUCUCUAGUUGCGUGAGGUGCCGCUGGCCCAUGAGACAUCGGGGGACGUGUGCCUCUCUGUUUCUACUCUCAACACUUUACUCCUGACACGUUUGGCCAUCAGAUGUGUGGUGGUUUUUCCUACACCAAGCAAUUCUGUGACACCAGAUCUUGAGGUCCCCAUUCUGACCUGCCCCAGUGGGAUGCUCUGAGGUUAAAACCUGCCUGCUGAAAUGUUGGCUCAAGACUGCUGUGAGCCUCCGCCCCCGCCCCCGGAGCACGUCCAACAACAGAGGAGUGCGAACCGCCGGAGCCUGCCACAGUGAGAGAUGCACCUGAAGCCUCGCGUAUAAUCUUUAAUUCAUGCGGACUUUGCAGCUGACUGCCUGACUGUAACAGGUCAUUAGAAUAUAAAAGGUUUACACUAACUUACCAUCUGGAAAGAAUACAGAGAACUUCCAUAGCUGCCCUAUUGAUUAAUGCAUGGGAUGCAUUUGCAAUGACUCUAGCUAUGUUUUAGUAUUGGGCUGAAUUGAAAAAGAGAUCUCAUUG
Molossus molossus (Pallas's mastiff bat) is the source of this 1042-nucleotide long non-coding RNA. RefSeq lists it as uncharacterized. The transcript is spliced from 7 exons. Lineage: Eukaryota; Metazoa; Chordata; Mammalia; Chiroptera; Molossidae. The record is from RefSeq and is a predicted model, not a curated record.